GCAUGUCUAAGUAUAAACAAAUCUAUACUGUGAAACUGCGAAUGGCUCAUUAUAUCAGUUAUAGUUUAUUUGAUGGUUCUUGGUGGAGUGAUUUGUCUGGUUAAUUCCGUUAACGAACGAGACCCCCGCCUGCUAAAUAGUUGAGCGAAUGCCUAGCAUUGGCGUCAACUUCUUAGAGGGACUUUUGGUGACUAACCAAAGGAAGUUGGGGGCAAUAACAGGUCUGUGAUGCCCUUAGAUGUCCUGGGCCGCACGCGCGCUACAAUGAUACACGCAACGAGUCCACCUUGUCCGAAAGGUCCGGGUAAUCUUGUAAAUGUGUAUCGUACUAGGGAUAGAUUUUUGCAAUUCUGAAUCUUGAACGAGGAAUUCCUAGUAAAUGCGAGUCAUCAGCUCGCGUUGAUUACGUCCCUGCCCUUUGUACACACCGCCCGUCGCACCUACCGAUUGAAUGGUUCGGUGAAAAUCUCGGACUGCGGCUUGGAUGCCUUCGGGCAACCAGGCUGUGGAAAGUUGUUUAAACCUCAUCAUUUAGAGGAAGGUGAAGUCGUAACAAGGUUUCCGUAGGUGAACCUGCAGAAGGAUC
This 586-nucleotide ribosomal RNA is filed under the name uncultured eukaryote. Its description in RNAcentral is "bacterial SSU rRNA". It matches the Rfam family "Eukaryotic small subunit ribosomal RNA", at positions 1250 to 1827 of the family's 1831-position model. The record is from RNAcentral.